GGCAACGGGCACAGGUCCCCAUCCACAAUAUGGCAGCUUUGUUCUUUUGCUGUUUGCGAUAAAUCUUGCUACUGCUCGCUUUUUGGGUCCACACUGCUUUUAUGAGCUGUAACACUCACCACGAAGGUCUGCAGCUUCACUCCUGAAGCCACUAAGACCACGAGCCCACCGGGAGGAAUGAACAACUCCGGCCGCGCUGCCUUAAGAGCUAUAACACUCACCGCGAAGGUCUGCAGCUUCACUCCUCAGCCAGCGAGACCACGAACCCACCAGAAGGAAGAAACUGCGAACACAUCUGAACAUCAGAAGGAACAAACUCCAGAUGCACCACCUUAAGAGCUGUAACACUCACUGCGAGGGUCCGCGGCUUCCUUCUUGAAGUCAGUGAGACCAAGCACUCACCAGUUUCGGACACAAGCCCAGGAGUUUGAGAUCAGCCUGGGCAACAUGAUGAAAUGCCCUCUCUGCAAAAAAAAAAAAAUUACAAAAAUUGGCGGAGCAUGGUGGUCCGUGCCUGUGGUCCCAGCUACGCGGGAGGCUAAAGUGGGAGGAUCGCUUGAGCCUGGGAGGUGAAGACUGCAGUGAGCUGUGAUUGUACCACAGCCCUCUAGGCUGGGGGACAGACUGAGACCCUGUUUCCCCUCCGCAAAAAAAUUGACAAAAGUGUAAUAAGAGGUGCCUGAUAUGGCUAGGCGCAGUGGCUCAUGCCUGUAAUCCCAGCACUUUGGGAAGCCGAGGCGGGCGGGUCACCUAAGGUCAGGAGUGUGAGACCAGCCUGGCCAACAUGGAGAAAGCCCAUCUCUUCUAAAAAUACAAAAUUAGCCGGCUGUGGGGGCAGUGGUGGAGCAUGCCUGUAAUCCCAGCUACUCAGGAGGCUGAGGCAGGAGAAUCACUUGAACCCAGGAGGCGGCGGUUGCAGUGAGCCGAGAUCGUGCCAUUGCACUCCACCCACUCCAGCCUGGGCAACAAGAGCCAAACUCUGUCUUAAAAAAAAAAAAAAAAAGUGCCUGACAUAUAAGAGGUGUGCAAUGCAAUAGUUGCCAGGCAACAUGUUUAAGAAUGUGGAGCUCCUGCCUUCCAUGGUCCUGUUAAAAACCCACCCUCAAGGCCAGGUGCAGUGGCUCAUGCCUAUAAUCCCAGCACUUUGGGAGGCCGAGGCGGGUGGAUCACCUGAGGUCAGGAGUUCGAGACCAGCCUGACCACCAACAUGGUGAAAUCCCACCUCUACUAAAAAUACAAAAUUAGAUGAGCAUGGUGGUGCAUGCCUGUAAUCCCACCUACUUGGGAGGCUGAGGCAGGAAAAUCACUAGAACCAGGGAGGCGGAGGUUGUAGUGAGCCGAGAUCGUGCCAUUGCACUCCAGCCUGAGCAAUGAGCGAAACUCCAUCUCAAAAAAACAACAACAAAAACCCACCCUCUA
This 1419-nucleotide long non-coding RNA is filed under the name Homo sapiens (human). RNAcentral's name for it is "HSALNT0389672". Lineage: Eukaryota; Metazoa; Chordata; Mammalia; Primates; Hominidae. The record is from RNAcentral.